GGGGUCCCGCUGUGGGCCCGCAGCACAGCCGUGCGGCCGAGUGAGGCAGCCGGUGAGGGUCGGAACCGGGGGUUCUUGGGGGUUUCAGGUUAUCAAACCAGAUGUGAUCUUCAACUUGGAGCAAGACCAGCCACGGGCAAUAGAUGAGGAUGCCCCAAGUCAGAGCUUUUCAGCUGGAGGAAUCCUGACUGAAUGAAUUGGGGGACAUUUUCUUCCAGAGACAACUUGCAUUUGAUUCUGCUACUACCUGGGACCCUUCUUGCCCCCUUUUGGAAUCCUGGUUUAUUGUGUGAAUCUAAGGUUCAGCAAUUUUAGUACUGGCUCGAGGCCCAGUGUUCUCGUUUUAAAACUGAUAUCAUCAUUUAUAUUGAGGGAAAAUGCUUUUUCCAAUUGCUUAACGUUUACCAGACUCCAAGAUCUGAGAAGAGCACUCCACCAAACUUACAAGACUCCCUUUCCUAUAAGCCACUUUAUUAACAUUAUUUUUACUUGAGAAAUAAAAUAUUGCCUGCCAUAUCAGUAAAUAAAUGAUGUCAGAGUCAAUAGCGAUUACAGCCCUCCAAAGGUGAGCUGGUGAGCCCUGAGGGAACUCAGGAAGGAAGCAAAGAAUACCUGCCAUCCAGCAGCCAUCAGACUACAGCCACUCCCAUUGGUGAGCCCUGAGGAACUAAGAGUCCACAUGCCGCAACUAAAGAUCCCUCAUGCCAAAAUAAAUAAAUAAUAA
This is a long non-coding RNA of Physeter macrocephalus (sperm whale), 724 nucleotides long. RefSeq lists it as uncharacterized. Lineage: Eukaryota; Metazoa; Chordata; Mammalia; Artiodactyla; Physeteridae. The transcript is spliced from 3 exons. The record is from RefSeq and is a predicted model, not a curated record.